This 363-nucleotide transfer-messenger RNA is filed under the name Salmonella enterica subsp. enterica serovar Infantis. It matches the Rfam family "transfer-messenger RNA". From Rfam's summary of the family: Bacterial tmRNA, also known as 10Sa RNA or SsrA, is named for its dual tRNA and mRNA-like properties. Its role is to liberate the mRNA from a stalled ribosome. The record is from RNAcentral. Lineage: Bacteria; Pseudomonadati; Pseudomonadota; Gammaproteobacteria; Enterobacterales; Enterobacteriaceae. RNAcentral also lists the same sequence under 2 other names.
GGGGCUGAUUCUGGAUUCGACGGGAUUUGCGAAACCCAAGGUGCAUGCCGAGGGGCGGUUGGCCUCGUAAAAAGCCGCAAAAAAAUAGUCGCAAACGACGAAACCUACGCUUUAGCAGCUUAAUAACCUGCUUAGAGCCCUCUCUCCCUAGCCUCCGCUCUUAGGACGGGGAUCAAGAGAGGUCAAACCCAAAAGAGAUCGCGUGGAUGCCCUGCCUGGGGUUGAAGCGUUAAAACGAAUCAGGCUAGUCUGGUAGUAGCGUGUCCGUCCGCAGGUGCCAGGCGAAUGUAAAGACUGACUAAGCAUGUAGUACCGAGGAUGUAGGAAUUUCGGACGCGGGUUCAACUCCCGCCAGCUCCACCA